Molecule: long non-coding RNA, 953 nt
Filed under: Cricetulus griseus (Chinese hamster)
Lineage: Eukaryota; Metazoa; Chordata; Mammalia; Rodentia; Cricetidae
Description: lncRNA (ENSCGRG00000026578.1)
Source: RNAcentral
AGGAGCUGAGGUCAGGGUCCACCCUACAUUGAAUGAAAGAGGCAAGAGGAUCUGGAGCUGAGCACGAAGACAGUGUGAGGCGAGCCCAGGGCAGCUAGGCACCACAUGCCUGUAUUUUUCCUCUGCCACAGCCUCCGGUGAAGCCUUAACUCUCCUGAGGAUUUUCCACAGGGCCUACCCCAGUAUAUCCAGAUACGUGCUCACUAAAAGGUAUCCUCAAAGAAACAGAAGGCCUCAUGACAGAAUACAACUUUGUUUGAAAGCAGGGCCUUUGCCAAGGUGGAUCUUCCUGGUUCCUGAUUCACAGGACGGAAGACAGGGAAGAGGAAGUAAACAAGAACUGGCGAAGAGCUGGCCCAGAGGGUUGUCCAGAAAAAGCUGGAACUCCACUCCCAUGGAGCAAGUCAUCAUGCUAUGCCUUGGGCUCCAGAAGACCCUGACUGAAUACCAGAAUUGCCAGGAAGCCUCUGUAACCACUAGAGUAUGGGAGCCUGGGAGCUUGCAGUGCCCUGGAGCCUGUGAGACGCAUCCAGAAUUGUGUGGGGCUGCUGUGGGUGGGUCUUAGGUAGAACUGACAAGCCAGACACAUCCAUCUCUUUCUGCCACUCAGGGAGACCCAGGGAACUACAGUUCUCAGAAGAAGCUGAAGCUCCCCUAACAACCCUUCAGAUGGUUUGGCCCUGGCCAAGUAGAACAUUGUGAUUAUGGAGAGCUGGAGUGUUACAGGUCAAAAGCCAAAGUGAUCUUGGGCUAUCUUUAGUCCCAUGAAAAGAUAGACAUAUACUUUCAGCCUCUGAGUGUCACCCAAUGCCUCAUGACUUGCAUAAAACCUUUGGAAUGUAUGCUUAAGCCUGACACACCCACCCUCUACCAAGGCAAUGGCUAAGAAUGCGGCAGACACGCUCUGAAUCCUGUGGCAUCCCUUUCCCCGCCUUUCUGUGACAGCCUUCCCC